UUGCUCUCUGGGUGGCGAGUGGCGGACGGGUGAGGAAUACAUCGGAAUCUACUUUUUCGUGGGGGAUAACGUAGGGAAACUUACGCUAAUACCGCAUACGACCUACGGGUGAAAGCAGGGGAUCUUCGGACCUUGCGCGAUUGAAUGAGCCGAUGUCGGAUUAGCUAGUUGGCGGGGUAAAGGCCCACCAAGGCGACGAUCCGUAGCUGGUCUGAGAGGAUGAUCAGCCACACUGGAACUGAGACACGGUCCAGACUCCUACGGGAGGCAGCAGUGGGGAAUAUUGGACAAUGGGCGCAAGCCUGAUCCAGCCAUACCGCGUGGGUGAAGAAGGCCUUCGGGUUGUAAAGCCCUUUUGUUGGGAAAGAAAUCCAGCUGGCUAAUACCCGGUUGGGAUGACGGUACCCAAAGAAUAAGCACCGGCUAACUUCGUGCCAGCAGCCGCGGUAAUACGAAGGGUGCAAGCGUUACUCGGAAUUACUGGGCGUAAAGCGUGCGUAGGUGGUCGUUUAAGUCCGUUGUGAAAGCCCUGGGCUCAACCUGGGAACUGCAGUGGAUACUGGGCGACUAGAGUGUGGUAGAGGGUAGCGGAAUUCCUGGUGUAGCAGUGAAAUGCGUAGAGAUCAGGAGGAACAUCCAUGGCGAAGGCAGCUACCUGGACCAACACUGACACUGAGGCACG
This 682-nucleotide ribosomal RNA is filed under the name Stenotrophomonas maltophilia. Its description in RNAcentral is "bacterial SSU rRNA". It matches the Rfam family "Bacterial small subunit ribosomal RNA", at positions 76 to 755 of the family's 1533-position model. The record is from RNAcentral. Lineage: Bacteria; Pseudomonadati; Pseudomonadota; Gammaproteobacteria; Lysobacterales; Lysobacteraceae.